This 358-nucleotide long non-coding RNA is filed under the name Numida meleagris (helmeted guineafowl). RNAcentral's name for it is "lncRNA (ENSNMEG00000006735.1)". Lineage: Eukaryota; Metazoa; Chordata; Aves; Galliformes; Numididae. The record is from RNAcentral.
CAUUUGGAAUGGCUUUUGUGUUCUCAGGAAAAGUCUGAGUUUCAAAAACCACCCCACAUAAAAGCCACUUGUCAGCAGCAAAAUAAUGUUCUACACUUCUGUUGCACAGAAACUACAGAGAUCACGAUGGCUGAUCAAAGACUUCAGUGAGCGUCUAUUUCUGAUUACCCCAACCACAAACAGAUGGAGACCAUCAGCUCAUUCACUCCGUGUCAUGUACCUCACCGCAGUCACACUGAGGAGAGCCACCGGGGCAAGUUUUGAUAACCAAGUGCUCACUGCAUUUUCCUGUUUUCUGUAUGGACGGGCCUGCUUGCAUCUGUUGCACUGCCAUGGAGCGAUCCCUGAAGCCCCAUAG